This 74-nucleotide transfer RNA is filed under the name Pannonibacter phragmitetus. It matches the Rfam family "tRNA". Rfam says of the family: Transfer RNA (tRNA) molecules are approximately 80 nucleotides in length. Their secondary structure includes four short double-helical elements and three loops (D, anti-codon, and T loops). Lineage: Bacteria; Pseudomonadati; Pseudomonadota; Alphaproteobacteria; Hyphomicrobiales; Stappiaceae. The record is from Rfam by way of RNAcentral.
CGCGGGGUGGAGCAGCCCGGUAGCUCGUCAGGCUCAUAACCUGAAGGUCGCAGGUUCAAAUCCUGCUCCCGCAA